RNAcentral lists this unclassified non-coding RNA (204 nucleotides) under soil metagenome. RNAcentral's name for it is "partial contains 5.8S ribosomal RNA, internal transcribed spacer 2, and large subunit ribosomal RNA". The record is from RNAcentral.
AACGCACGAGACCUGCGGACCUGCGGAAGGAUCAUUACAGAGUUUUCUAAACUCCCAAACCUUUGUGAACUUACCACUGUUGCCUCGGCGGAAGCUAUUGGGGUUACCCUGUAGCGACCGCCGGUGGACCAACCCAACUCUUGUAAUUUUGAGAAAUCUGAGAGUCUUAUACAAAUAAGUCAAAACUUUUAGCAAUGGAUCUCU